UACGUAGGGCGCAAGCGUUAUCCGGAAUUAUUGGGCGUAAAGAGCUCGUAGGCGGUCUGUCGCGUCUGCUGUGAAAAUCAGGGCUCAACCCUGGACCUGCAGUGGGUACGGGCAGACUAGAGUGCGGUAGGGGAGAUCGGAAUUCCCGGUGUAGAGGUGAAAUUCGUAGAUAUCGGGAGGAACACCGGUGGCGAAGGCGGCGACCUGGGUAGAUACUGACGCUGAGGUGCGAAAGCGUGGGGAGCAAACAGG
RNAcentral lists this ribosomal RNA (252 nucleotides) under uncultured bacterium. Its description in RNAcentral is "partial 16S ribosomal RNA". It matches the Rfam family "Bacterial small subunit ribosomal RNA", at positions 524 to 776 of the family's 1533-position model. The record is from RNAcentral.